Molecule: long non-coding RNA, 1335 nt
Organism: Lynx canadensis (Canada lynx)
Lineage: Eukaryota; Metazoa; Chordata; Mammalia; Carnivora; Felidae
Exons: 3
Source: RefSeq, a predicted model, not a curated record
CGCCCCUGUAGCAGGCCCCGCCCCUCGAGGGCAGGACUGUAGGGGCUUGUAGUCUUGGGGCCACUGCCGCCGGGGCCUUGGCUGGUUGGGCGGUAGUCGGCAGGAGGACGCAGCUUUGCACUAAAGUCGGGGAGGGCGCCGAAAGCCGGGGUAAAGGAAACAGAAUCUCUGAAAGGUGAUGUGGCUGGCCUAGUCACACAGUUAUCAGAGUCAGGCAGGAUUUGAAUCCACAUCUUCUUGACUCUAGAGACCAGGCUCUGGACAACUGUGCUACAGUCGCCUGUUUGUGGGGCCUCUGCUCCCGACCCCAGCUGUCUGCCUGACUCAGCAACUGUGGGUGGCCUUACUCCCGUGCGUGGGCAGCAGAGCUGGAACAAGAAUGGCGUGUGUGAGAGAAUCCACUAUAAAGUUAUCACCACGACCCCUACCCUUCCCAUUGAGCCGGAGGGACUGGACAAGGAGAAAGGCCACUUCUGGAUAAAAGUCCCUAGGUGUGGCAGUCACAAGAUAACUGAGGUCAAGCAGGAGAAAGCAGAGGCUGUUAUAAGGACUAGAACUCUUCCUCCCAAGUUCUCCUUUGCAAGCAUAUAGGUAAUGAGCUCUCUGUCACUGGAAAUAUGCAAGUGGAACCUGGCCAAUCAUUUGGCAGAGACUGUAAAGGAGCUCUCAAAAUCUGAUGGGAAACUGGGCUGUAUGGCUUCUGAGCAGCAGUUUGUCUAAGGGGUUAAGAACAUGGGCUUAGCUGGCAGUGGCCUCUGGUUUAAACCCCAGCUCUGCCAUUUCCUAGCUCUCUUCCUUCCAUCUUCAGGUAACCACGAUUCUGACUCCUAUCAUCACAGAUUUAUCUUGCCCAUUCUAGAAAUCCAUACAAAUGUCAUCACACUGAACAUUCUCUUGUAUCUGGCUUAUUUCAUUCAACAUUAUGUUCAUGAAUUCCUGAGGGUUUUUUUUUUUUUUUUUUUUUUUUUUCAAAUCUCCCUCCAUCCAGUAGGGGACACUCACCAACAUUUCAUCUUUCAUUAAUUUCUUCCAUCAUUGAGUCACUCAUUCAACAAAUAUUUCUUGAGCCCUUGCUGUGUGGGGAGGGCUGGCCAAACAGAGUAACCCAUGGCAAAGACUGAUGAACUCUGGGUCUCCCAGAAUGUUCUUUGACUCAAAACUAUUUUGGAUACAAAUUACAAUGGUGAGAGCCCUACUCUGAACUACUGCAGUACCAGGUAGUAUCCCCAAUAGACAGAGGCUGCACAGCUCAGGCUCUGGCAUCCAUACACGGGCACUUAGUAGGUGCUUCAUAGAAAGUGGCUACAACUGUUCCCUUGGCACAGAAGCACCGUA